Paramuricea clavata is the source of this 174-nucleotide non-coding RNA. Lineage: Eukaryota; Metazoa; Cnidaria; Anthozoa; Malacalcyonacea; Plexauridae. The record is from the annotation of a GenBank genome assembly.
CACGAAACGUUCCUUCGCCACAACAGCAGCCUGACUAAGUACAUUAUAUUUAUUGUAUUUUGGGAUUUAUUAUAAAAACAAUAAAUAUUUGCGUAUUUUUAUCAUCAAUCAUAAAAAUACAAUAAAUAUAAUAUAUUUAGUUUGGUUGCUGUGGUGGCGAACAAACGUUUCGUG